AAAUGAAAUAAAAUUGUGAAACGAUCCAAUCUAUAUAUUAAUAUUCGUGUGUAAAUUGGUUAUUGUAUUCAUAAACUAUUUUAUAUAUUGACGUUUGAUAAUACUAUUGUGGUUAUCUGCUUACCUACAAACAAGUAAACAAAAUAAGUUUUAAAAAACCUCAUAUGAGUGAGAAGACUGUUAUGGAUGAAUAUUGUUGGCUAAUGAUUCAGGGACAUGGAUAUAUCCGAAUAAAAUAAAAAAAAGAGAAGUGUUGAGACCAAUGUCAUUGUCUGGUUUUCAACAAGGGGAGGCAUGAUGACAUAUAUGUGAAAAAAGAUUAUUACCGCAUCGGCUUUCGAAAAGGCAGACUAAUUCGGAGAGAGAGAGAGAGCGACUGAGAUGAUUUUUGUUUGACAUUUUUCGAAAACGAGAUUUUUUUUGUUGUGUUCCGUCCGAUUGAGGCUUGGUGGAGACAUGGCCGGAGCUAAUGAUGAUGAUUAUGAUCGUAACAACCGCCGGAUUGCUAACUGAUAUAUUUCAAGGACAAAGCUAAUACCCAUUUCUGGGUAUGCAAAUAUGGCUAACCCACUAUAAAUACACAUUCUUGUUUUGAGUCCUGAGGCAUUCAUCACCUCUCUUCUUCUUCAUCCUUCUUCUAUAUUUUUUCUUUGGUUUAAGCUGGGAAAUGGAUGUACUGAAGUUUGAUUACAACCACAAGGGUGACAAUGCAUUAAAGGAGCUCGAGAGGAUCACCUCGAAGGCUGCUGAAGUCCAAGAUAAUAUGUUAAGUGGGAUCUUAGAAAGAAACAAGGACACACAGUACUUGAGAAAGUACAUGAAAGGCUCUAAGGACGUUAUGGAGUUUAAACGCUCUGUGCCAGUCAUCACGUACAAAGAUGUAUGUCCUUACAUUCAGAGAAUUGCAAAUGGAGAAGACUCUUCUCUGAUUACUGGUCAUCCUAUCACUGAGAUACUAUGCAGGUCGAUUUUUAUUUCUAGCCUGAAUCUCUUUCUUAGUAACAGCCUCCCCUUCCUUUGUGUUUGAAUAUAAAUUUGUGUAUGGCUAAAUAAAUGUAUCUGCUUGCUUUCAUGUUGCAGCUCAGGAACUUCUGGUGGAGAGCCGAAGCUAAUGCCAACCAUUUCGGAAGAUCUUGAUCGGCGCACCUUUGUCUACAAUCUUAUCAAUCCAAUCGCGAACAAGUUAGUACAAUGUUUCCUGUUAAUAUUCAGUCCUGAUAUACUUUAACAUCCUCCUUGUUGCUCUUAUAAGAGUAGUGAUUAGUGAAGAAGGAAUUACAUCUUCCAUGCACAUGAAUAUUUACUUGAUAAAAAACAAAGUGGCUGAUCUCAUAUUCCAUAAAAGAACCACUAGGACUGUUCCUGUAGUUGUAGGAUAGUGGAUAUGUCUCAAAAUCUGACCUAUGGAAGUGGAAGUACACAUCACAUCACAAUUCCUCCAUGUUAUUAUCCACUGGAAACAUUUAAUAAAAAAGGAAAAAAAUUAAAAAGGUUAACGAUAGGCUUCAAUGUGAAUAUGGCUUCAUAAUCAUUGUAGGCACUAACAUAUGGAAUCUGGAUACACAUGCAUAGAUGUACUGGCCGUGGUACCAAUAAAUCUUCAUAGUAGGUUGCUCACUAAGGAAGUUUGCUUUCUGCUUUGAGUUUUGUGUUUGCUUUUUGUGGAAAUUAAGUGGUAUCAUGUCAUGUACUAUAAAGUUUGCAUCCAUCAUCUUUUAUCCACACGCCAUUUUGAUGUCCCCACCCAAAGAUUCUCUGAGAAUUUUGAACAGCACUUACUAAACCUCAAGAAUCUUUUCAUAUCCACUACUGAUUUUUCUUUUCUUUCAUUUUACCUCUUUUACCAUCGUCUCUCUUUACUAUGUUUUUGACUGAGAUUUAUUAUAUGUAUUACUGACAGGUAUCUAGAAGGACUUGACAAAGGAAAAACAAUGUACCUAAACUUCGUCAAAGCUGAAACAUCAACUCCUUGUGGUUUACCAAUCAGAACUGUCCUCACUAGCUACUACAAGAGCAAACAUUUCCAGUGCCGACCUUACGAUCCAUUCAACGACUUAACCAGUCCCAUCCAAACCAUCCUUUGUGAAGACAGCAACCAAAGCAUGUACUGUCAGUUACUUGCCGCUCUUAUUCACCGUCACAAAGUCAUGCGUCUCGGAGCUGUCUUCGCUUCAGCCUUUCUCCGUGCAAUCUCUUAUCUCGAGCGAAAAUGGAGCCAGCUCUGCCAAGACAUCCGCACCGGCCAUCUCAGUCCCAUGAUCACCGAUCCAGGAUGCCAGACGGCUAUGACUUCUCUUCUAGCCUCGCCAAAUCCUGACUUAGCUGACGAGGUUGAAGAAAUCUGUGGACGCCCGUCGUGGAAAGGGAUUCUGUGUCAACUCUGGCCUCAAGCAAAGUUCAUUGAAGCAGUAGUGACAGGCUCAAUGGCUCAGUACAUACCAGCGCUUGAGUUCUUUAGCCAAGGCAAGAUUCCGUUGGUUUGUCCAAUGUAUGCUUCCUCCGAGACUUACUUUGGAGUCAACGUGAAGCCACUCUCCAAGCCAUCUGACGUCGUUUUCACGCUCUUGCCCAACAUGUGCUACUUCGAGUUCAUUCCUCUCGGCAAAAACGGAACUCUCUCUUUUGACGUAGAGGACGAAGAAGUCGUCCCCUGUGACAAAGUGGUUGACUUGGUCGACGUCAAACUCGGACGCUACUAUGAACUCGUCGUCACAACCUUCGCAGGUAAAGAAACUGGUGGCAUUGUCUUCUCCUUUUUAGUCAGCUCUGACUCUUGCAUGGAAACAGGAUUGUACCGUUACAGAAUCGGCGAUGUCCUUCAAGUGGCGGGGUUCUACAACAAAGCACCACAGUUCAGGUUUAUCUGCAGGAGAAACGUGGUUCUAAGCAUCGACUUAGACAAAACCAACGAGGAAGAUCUUCACAGGAGCAUCACGCUGGCCAAGAAGAAGCUUGAAAACAAGGCAUUCCUCGCGGAGUACACGAGCUACGCGGAUACUUCAUCAGUGCCAGGUCACUACGUGCUCUUCUGGGAGAUCCAAUGGCUCGAACCUGAUGAUGAGGAGGAGAAGCUGCUGAUGGAAGAGUGUUGCAUUGCGGUUGAGGAAGAGCUGGAUUACAUAUACAGGCAAUGCAGGAAGAGAGAUAGAUCGGUGGGGCCUUUAGAGAUAAGAGUGGUGAAGCCAGGGACGUUCGAGAAGCUGAUGGAUAUGAUAAUAAGCCAAGGAGGGUCGCUUAAUCAGUACAAAACGCCGAGAUGUGUUAAGUCCAACAGUGCUAUGCUCAAGCUCUUGGACGGCCACGUGACCGGUUCCUUCUCUAGCCCUCGUGAUCCAACCUGGUCCCCUUGAUGUCGAACGUAUGUAUUGAUCGGAGAGACUAUAAUUUACUAAUCAGUAUUCGGUAAUAACCAAAUGGGAUCGGAUUUGCUGUAAUGCUAGCAGUAGCAGGCAUGUAAUGCUACUACCUGAUUGAUUAAAAAAUGUUAUAAGAAACUUCAUUUACCGAGUUAUCUAUCUCUUAUAGUUCCUUUCAGUUUCUCGUCGCAUAAUAUAACUUUAGUACCGAGUUACUUAUAUCGUAUGAUUUACAAUAUAUUAAGGAAUUUUAAGACGAUCAUCAUCCUCAAGCCCUCUUGAAACAAAAGCUACUGUGGGAUUCUUUUUUUGUAUUCUCUGGCAUGGCUUCUGAGGAAGAGUUGUAUUCAUUGGGUGUUUGAAGUGUGUUUCCCGGCCCAAACAUAUAACACAAGAGUCCAAUCUGUUUAUCCAACUGUCGUUGGUUACAAAUUUAAUUACAUCAUCAUCCACUUUGUCGGCACUUAAUCUUAUCAGGAUCAUGGAUAAAUGCCAUGUGAUCUGUGAACAUGGCUUCUUAACGGACAGAAACCCCACGUACGCUGUCUCCCAAAACUUGAUUCGGAUAAUACUGAAAUGAAAAAGCAAUUAUUAUGAUUGUUUUUUGAUUUUUCUCUUGUGUUGAACAUAUAUAGUCAGCCAAAAGACAUGAAGCGCAUCUGGUGUAGUGGUAUCAUAGUACCCUCCCACGGUACUGACCAGGGUUCGAUUCCCUGGAUGCGCAUUUUUUUGUGCAAGAGUGUUCCGGUUUGGUUUGCAUAGGUUUUUUGGGCUUGGUUAAGGAUUAGUAGUGGAAACUGGCUUAGAUGCAUUCAGAUUAUCCAUCUCUUGGCCUAGAUUCCCAGUUAGUCUCUUAAACUUAUGCUCCUCUCUUUCCAUUUUCUUUAACUGGAAGGGAACCAAUUAAGAUCAUGAGCUCUUGUCUCAUUAAUUAGAAGGAAGAGGUCUUGUUAAGCCGAAAGGUCUAGAGUUCUACAAGAACUAAUAUAUUCAGUAUUGGAGGCUACAAAAAUGGGGGGUACAAAACCACCUGGUCGUUGUUCGGCCUGCUUCUCAGGGAACUCUUCCACUGAACCAUAUAUGGUAGCACAUAACUUGCUGCUUGCCCACGCCUCUGCUUCUAGACUAUAUAAGCAAAAGUACAAGGUAAUAUUUCAAAGUCCGGUAAUUGAAUAUGAUAAAGCUUAUUGUUUAGCUGCAUGAUCUCAGUUGUUUUAUUGCACAGCAUACACACAACACAUAAAAAAAAGAGCAGGAGGUACAUAACCUAAUAAUAAUGAUAAUAAGCAACAAAGGAACAAAUCAUUUAUGUCAAACGAAGGAAAAAUCUCAGGGAUGUAACAAAAGCACCAUAUGUCACUGCUUCUGGAGGUGAAGAACCUUAACCCAAGCAGGCCUGGCAGUGAUCUUCUUGAUCCACUCCUUAACCUUAGGGCGAGACUCAAAGAGCUUCUUGGAGUCGGUACCCAUCAAGUAAUAGAUGAUUGGGAGGUGGUGAAGAUCAGCCAGAGUGAAGCAAUCACCAGCCAAGAAGGGUGAUUUGGAGAGCCUGGCCUCGUAGAUAUCCAAGACCUUCACCAACUUAGCUUCGAGGUCUUCCACAGCGGCAGGGUCAGUGGUCAUGCCAAGCAUGCCUUUGAAGACACGCUCGAAGGCUAGCUUAGAGGCGAUAGGGUCAAACUGUUGACCUUCAACUUGAAGCCAGACCUUUGUGGUGGCCUUGAGUUUCUUGCAGCCUUGGCAGAGAAGCUUCUCGCCUUUGUCGCUGUACUCCUCCGCUAUGUACUCUGUGAUGGCUCUUGACUCUGAAAAACAAAAAUGAAUUCAUGUGUAUCAUUGAUACUUAACCAACACGUAAUGAAAACAGAUUAAGAAAAAAAAGGAACUAACCGAAAAGCGUCAGAUCACCGUCUAGGAGAGCAGGGAUUUGACCGAAGGGCUAAAAAAAAGAAAAAGGAAAGAGCAGAGUGGUCAGAUAUGUGAAUGUGAUGAUGAAAACCAAAUUAACCAAAGCUGUGUAGAGAGUUAUUACGUACGUUGAGGGAGAUGAGAGGCUCCUGCUUGUGAGCACCGGCUUUCAUGUCGACGGGGACUAUCUCGAAAUCGAGGCCCUUCUCGUAAAGAGUAGCCAGAACGCGCAUUGUGGCCGUUGAUAUUGGAAGUCCGUGUACUUUGAUGCCGCCGCCCAUGCUUAUAAGCUUUUAAUUGGAUCUGAAGGGGUGAAUGGUGGUGCAUGGUGUUUUAUAGGUGGAGGAGGAGGCAAGGCAAGAGAAGAAUAAGUCGUUGUUGCCAUUCUUUUCGUUUGCACAAACUUCUCACCACCACAUCACCACGUCUCCUCUUCCUCCUCCUUCUCCCACUUUCUCUCUGUUUAUUUGUAACCUCUAUUUUUUUUUUUUAUCGUUUUAACCCAUUUGGUUUUGUAACUACAGAUUCAUAUACAUACAUAAAAUAAAUAAAGAAGUUAACGUUGGUUAUGCCCCCAUGCAUGUUUAAGAAAAGUAAUUUAAUAUUUCAUGCAUGGUAUCAGGUAUCAAUCCACCAAAUUUGUUUAACGAUGGUAACGUUUUAAAUUUGAUUUAUAUCCGAAUUUAACGUUUAGGAUGGUUAUACCUAAUAUCAGUCAACAAAAAGAUAAAAUAAAAUAGAUAGAUAGAUAUAUAUUAGCGCCUAUUCAAAUCACAAAACAACAAGUGUAGGUCGGUGUAUAUGGGGUACAUAAAAAAAAUAUGUGGUGGAGGCAUAUGUUGGGUAUAAUAAUUACACCAAUCAAAAGAGAGCAUAAUCUAACGAGGACCAUCCACGUAAUAAAAAAAUAUCGCAUUCAUUCCUUACUCUUUCAGUUGUACUUGUAUACAAACUCCUUUCUAAAUUUUAUAAUCGGGAUCGAUCUCUCUUUCUCUGAAACAUUUUGGAAACUUCUAGGUAAGGCUUCUUCAUUCCAAAGCAAGACCACAAUUUUUCUUCAUGGCCACCGGAGAGGAGAAACCUGUUAUGGUCGUCGGUAUCGACGAAAGCGAGCAGAGCACUUACGCCUUGGAGUGGACCCUCGAUCGUUUCUUCACUCCCUACGCUCCUAAUUUUCCUUUCAAGCUCUUCAUCGUCCACGCCAAACCUAACGCCGUCUCUGCCGUUGGUCUUGCUGGUCCCGGUACCCUCUUUUGAUUGACUAGCUAGGAACUGUCUUCUUCUAUCUAGGUUUCUCUGUUUCAGAUAUAUAUCAUUUGCGGUUUCUUUUUUCUUUUUAGGAGCUGCGGAGGUUCUGCCUUAUGUUGAUACCGAUUUGAAGCAUAUUGCUGCCAGGGUUAUCGAGAUGGCUAAAGGUAUCUGUCAGAGCAAAUCGGUAAGUAUUCACUCAUUAAUUCUUCGACUAUUUCAUAAAGGAUAAUUAUAAGAGAGCGUAUACAAUGAUGUUUCAAUGUUUGAUGAGCUAUAUUUGUUUUGAAUCUCUACAUCAUUCAAGCUUAGAUACUCCUUAUAGUUUUUUCCUUCUUUACUUUAUAAUUGAUCUUUUAUAUUUUUUUGUUUUUUUUUGUAAAAGUAAUUUAUCUAUUUUUAGUUACGUACUAGCUUCUUCUCAAUCAUUGAUUCUCUAGGUUUGUGCCGUGUAGGUUAAUGGCGCUAUGUUCGAAGUUUUUGAAGGUGAUGCAAGAAGUAUACUGUGCGAUGUUGUGGAUAAACAUCAUGCUUCUCUUCUUGUCGUGGGAAGCCAUGGUUAUGGAGCUAUCAAGAGGUAUAUAAUAUCUUUGUGUAUUUAAUUAUUAUAAUACUCACAAUCAUCAAUCUUGACUAUUUUUCUCGGCUUUAAUUCCCGACUCCUAUCACAGGGCGGUUCUAGGGAGCGUGAGCGACUACUGUGCUCAUCAUGCUCAUUGCUCGGUGAUGAUCGUGAAGAAGCCUAAGAUCAAGCACUGAUGAUCACCUAAACCCAAGCUGUUAUAUCAGUCAAAGCAAAGCAAAGUCUCAUCUGCAUAGUCGUCAGUUUCGGUGAAAUGAAAUAAAAUUGUGAAACGAUCCAAUCUAUAUAUUAAUAUUCGUGUGUAAAUUGGUUAUUGUAUUCAUAAACUAUUUUAUAUAUUGACGUUUGAUAAUACUAUUGUGGUUAUCUGCUUACCUACAAACAAGUAAACAAAAUAAGUUUUAAAAAACCUCAUAUGAGUGAGAAGACUGUUAUGGAUGAAUAUUGUUGGCUAAUGAUUCAGGGACAUGGAUAUAUCCGAAUAAAAUAAAAAAAAGAGAAGUGUUGAGACCAA
RNAcentral lists this long non-coding RNA (7609 nucleotides) under Brassica napus (rape). RNAcentral's name for it is "long non-coding RNA (BNAP_LNC014740)". The stretch from base 4010 to 4080 matches the Rfam family "tRNA". Lineage: Eukaryota; Viridiplantae; Streptophyta; Magnoliopsida; Brassicales; Brassicaceae. The record is from RNAcentral.